This 2771-nucleotide ribosomal RNA is filed under the name Cronobacter sakazakii 2151. RNAcentral describes it as "bacterial LSU rRNA". It matches the Rfam family "Bacterial large subunit ribosomal RNA". The record is from RNAcentral. Lineage: Bacteria; Pseudomonadati; Pseudomonadota; Gammaproteobacteria; Enterobacterales; Enterobacteriaceae.
AGCGUACACGGUGGAUGCCCUGGCAGUCAGAGGCGAUGAAGGACGUGCUAAUCUGCGAAAAGCGCCGGUAAGGUGAUAUGAACCGUUAUAACCGGCGAUGUCCGAAUGGGGAAACCCGGUGCACUUCGGUGCAUCAUCGUUAGCUGAAUACAUAGGCUAACGAGGCGAACCGGGGGAACUGAAACAUCUAAGUACCCCGAGGAAAAGAAAUCAACCGAGAUUCCCCCAGUAGCGGCGAGCGAACGGGGAACAGCCCAGAGCCUGAAUCAGCUUGUGUGUCAGUGGAACGGUCUGGAAAGGCCGGCGAUACAGGGUGACAGCCCCGUACACGAAGGCACACAGGCUGUGAGCUCGAUGAGUAGGGCGGGACACGUGAUAUCCUGUCUGAAGAUGGGGGGACCAUCCUCCAAGGCUAAAUACUCCUGACUGACCGAUAGUGAACCAGUACCGUGAGGGAAAGGCGAAAAGAACCCCGGCGAGGGGAGUGAAACAGAACCUGAAACCGUGUACGUACAAGCAGUGGGAGCCUUCGUAAGAGGGUGACUGCGUACCUUUUGUAUAAUGGGUCAGCGACUUAUAUUCUGUAGCAAGGUUAACCGUAUAGGGGAGCCGAAGGGAAACCGAGUCUUAACCGGGCGUUAAGUUGCAGGGUAUAGACCCGAAACCCGGUGAUCUAGCCAUGGGCAGGUUGAAGGUUGGGUAACACUAACUGGAGGACCGAACCGACUAAUGUUGAAAAAUUAGCGGAUGACCUGUGGCUGGGGGUGAAAGGCCAAUCAAACCGGGAGAUAGCUGGUUCUCCCCGAAAGCUAUUUAGGUAGCGCCUCGUGAAUUCAUCUCCGGGGGUAGAGCACUGUUUCGGCUAGGGGGCCAUCCCGGCUUACCAACCCGAUGCAAACUGCGAAUACCGGAGAAUGUUAUCACGGGAGACACACGGCGGGUGCUAACGUCCGUCGUGAAGAGGGAAACAACCCAGACCGCCAGCUAAGGUCCCAAAGUCAUGGUUAAGUGGGAAACGAUGUGGGAAGGCCCAGACAGCCAGGAUGUUGGCUUAGAAGCAGCCAUCAUUUAAAGAAAGCGUAAUAGCUCACUGGUCGAGUCGGCCUGCGCGGAAGAUGUAACGGGGCUAAACCAUGCACCGAAGCUGCGGCAGCGACACUAUGUGUUGUUGGGUAGGGGAGCGUUCUGUAAGCCUGUGAAGGUGUGCUGUGAGGCAUGCUGGAGGUAUCAGAAGUGCGAAUGCUGACAUAAGUAACGAUAAAGCGGGUGAAAAGCCCGCUCGCCGGAAGACCAAGGGUUCCUGUCCAACGUUAAUCGGGGCAGGGUGAGUCGACCCCUAAGGCGAGGCCGAAAGGCGUAGUCGAUGGGAAACAGGUUAAUAUUCCUGUACUUGGUGUUACUGCGAAGGGGGGACGGAGAAGGCUAUGUCGGCCGGGCGACGGUUGUCCCGGUUUAAGCGUGUAGGCUGACUUUCCAGGCAAAUCCGGAAGGUUAAGGCUGAGGCGUGAUGACGAGGCACCACGGUGCUGAAGUGACAAAUGCCCUGCUUCCAGGAAAAGCCUCUAAGCAUCAGGUAACAUCAAAUCGUACCCCAAACCGACACAGGUGGUCAGGUAGAGAAUACCAAGGCGCUUGAGAGAACUCGGGUGAAGGAACUAGGCAAAAUGGUGCCGUAACUUCGGGAGAAGGCACGCUGACAUGUAGGUGAAGCCCCUGCGGGUGGAGCUGAAGUCAGUCGAAGAUACCAGCUGGCUGCAACUGUUUAUUAAAAACACAGCACUGUGCAAACACGAAAGUGGACGUAUACGGUGUGACGCCUGCCCGGUGCCGGAAGGUUAAUUGAUGGGGUUAUCGCAAGAGAAGCUCCUGAUCGAAGCCCCGGUAAACGGCGGCCGUAACUAUAACGGUCCUAAGGUAGCGAAAUUCCUUGUCGGGUAAGUUCCGACCUGCACGAAUGGCGUAAUGAUGGCCAGGCUGUCUCCACCCGAGACUCAGUGAAAUUGAACUCGCUGUGAAGAUGCAGUGUACCCGCGGCAAGACGGAAAGACCCCGUGAACCUUUACUACAGCUUGACACUGAACAUUGAGCCUUGAUGUGUAGGAUAGGUGGGAGGCUUUGAAGCGUGGACGCCAGUCUGCGUGGAGCCGACCUUGAAAUACCACCCUUUAAUGUUUGAUGUUCUAACCUGGCGCCGUGAUCCGGCGUGGGGACAGUGUCUGGUGGGUAGUUUGACUGGGGCGGUCUCCUCCCAAAGUGUAACGGAGGAGCACGAAGGUCAGCUAAUCCUGGUCGGACAUCAGGAGGUUAGUGCAAUGGCAUAAGCUGGCUUGACUGCGAGAGUGACGGCUCGAGCAGGUGCGAAAGCAGGUCAUAGUGAUCCGGUGGUUCUGUAUGGAAGGGCCAUCGCUCAACGGAUAAAAGGUACUCCGGGGAUAACAGGCUGAUACCGCCCAAGAGUUCAUAUCGACGGCGGUGUUUGGCACCUCGAUGUCGGCUCAUCACAUCCUGGGGCUGAAGUAGGUCCCAAGGGUAUGGCUGUUCGCCAUUUAAAGUGGUACGCGAGCUGGGUUUAGAACGUCGUGAGACAGUUCGGUCCCUAUCUGCCGUGGGCGCUGGAGAAUUGAGGGGGGCUGCUCCCAGUACGAGAGGACCGGAGUGGACGCAUCACUGGUGUUCGGGUUGUCAUGCCAAUGGCACUGCCCGGUAGCUAAAUGCGGAAGAGAUAAGUGCUGAAAGCAUCUAAGCACGAAACUUGCCCCGAGAUGAGUUCU